AGGAAUAUUGGUCAAUGGACGAGAGUCUGAACCAGCCAAGUAGCGUGAAGGAUGAAGGUCCUACGGAUUGUAAACUUCUUUUAUAAGGGAAUAAACCCUCCCACGUGUGGGAGCUUGUAUGUACCUUAUGAAUAAGCAUCGGCUAACUCCGUGCCAGCAGCCGCGGUAAUACGGAGGAUGCGAGCGUUAUCCGGAUUUAUUGGGUUUAAAGGGAGCGCAGACGGGUCGUUAAGUCAGCUGUGAAAGUUUGGGGCUCAACCUUAAAAUUGCAGUUGAUACUGGCGUCCUUGAGUGCGGUUGAGGUGUGCGGAAUUCGUGGUGUAGCGGUGAAAUGCUUAGAUAUCACGAAGAACUCCGAUUGCGAAGGCAGCGCACUAAUCCGUAACUGACGUUCAUGCUCGAAAGUGUGGGUAUCAAACAGGAUUAGAUACCCUGGUAGUCCACACGGUAAACGAUGGAUACUCGCUGUUGGCGAUAUACUGUCAGCGGCUUAGCGAAAGCGUUAAGUAUCCCACCUGGGGAGUACGCCGGCAACGGUGAAACUCAAAGGAAUUGACGGGGGCCCGCACAAGCGGAGGAACAUGUGGUUUAAUUCGAUGAUACGCGAGGAACCCUACCCGGGCUUAAAUUGCAAAGGAAUAAUCUGGAAACAGAUUAGUCUUCGGACCUUUGUGAAGGUGCUGCAUGGUUGUCGUCAGCUCGUGCCGUGAGGUGUCGGCUUAAGUGCCAUAACGAGCGCAACCCUCGCCGCCAGUUACUAGCAGGUAAUGCUGAGGACUCUGGCGGGACUGCCAUCGUAAGAUGUGAGGAAGGUGGGGAUGACGUCAAAUCAGCACGGCCCUUACGUCCGGGGCUACACACGUGUUACAAUGGGCGGUACAGAAGGCAGCUACCUGGCGACAGGAUGCCAAUCCCUAAAGCCGCUCUCAGUUCGGACUGGAGUCUGCAACCCGACUCCACGAAGCUGGAUUCGCUAGUAAUCGCGCAUCAGCCACGGCGCGGUGAAUACGUUCCCG
RNAcentral lists this ribosomal RNA (1016 nucleotides) under uncultured bacterium. Its description in RNAcentral is "bacterial SSU rRNA". It matches the Rfam family "Bacterial small subunit ribosomal RNA", at positions 357 to 1376 of the family's 1533-position model. The record is from RNAcentral.